GUCACCUACCUCCGAUUUAUGAUCGGUUACAUGCGUUCCUUAUCCGCCAACAAACCAUGAUUUCGCACUCCAUCUCUUCACCUCCGAAUCUGAUUACUGUUUGAUUGAGUCUUGUUGUCGUCUCUGUAUUUGCUACAAUAAAUGAAAUAACGAAGAGAAAUUCAGUUAAUUUUAUCGCGUGACAGGACAACUAUUAUGUACUAAAUCGAAACAGUCAUUACGUUGCAGCACCACAUUGUAUUGAAACAACUCCGAAUUUCUGAUGUGGAGGGAACAAUUUAGAUGAUCUUCCAAACUCGCUGCUCGGUUCUAAGGCAAGUUUAAUGAACCGCAGAGAGCAGGUACAAAAUGCAUAUCAUAGCAAAAUUGCUAUUCAAGAAGAAGCUGAUAGUAAUGCAAAUUAGUACAAGAAGCUGUAAACAACUAACCUUAUAUUGAUUUGACAAAAAAAAAAAAAAACUAACCUUAUAUUGAAACUCAUUGUUCUAAAAAUCACCGCCUAGGUGCUAGGCGGCUGGCCACUGCCCCGAUUAAUGUCUAGACGUUUGAAAAUUAAGAAAGGGCACCUAGACUUGAUGAGGCAUCCGUGUAGCCCACCCAAACCUGCCUAGGCACCCGCUUAGGUUGCGACUCGCUUAGAUAGAAAAUAGAUAACUUUCAUUUUGUAUUUUAUUUUUUUCAAUAAAUUGUAAGAAACUUGCUAAAUAGUUAAAUGAACACACAUUAUAUGCUUAUUCCCUAUGUUUUCAUUAUGUUUCAAUACUUCAUAAUAUAUAUGUCAUUUUAUUUUGUAGUUUAUAAUGAAAAUAUAUAUAUUUUCAAUAUAAACAAACACUUAUUUACACGAAAUAUAAUAAUUUACUUAAAUCCGACUAGUCUGCCUAGGCACCUGCCUAGAC
RNAcentral lists this long non-coding RNA (899 nucleotides) under Malus domestica (apple). Its description in RNAcentral is "long non-coding RNA (MDOM_LNC014389)". Lineage: Eukaryota; Viridiplantae; Streptophyta; Magnoliopsida; Rosales; Rosaceae. The record is from RNAcentral.